UUCUUAAAGCAGUGAAUUUAUGUUUUAAAGCAGAUUCGCAAAAUUGCUUUGCAUUGACAUAUGUAGCUAACAAUGCUAGUGUUGUACUUGUUUUAAAUUUCGCGAAAUAUUGUGGUCACAGCGCAAUGUGCAUGUAACUAAAGUAUGCAUAUAUUGGUACACUUAAAGGUGAUAUUUUAUUUAUGCCUUUUUGUUGUAUGAUAAAUUUUUCAAGUCUGUUGAUUGGUUAUGGGAUAGCGAUCUGAGGACCUUUCUGUUCUAUAUACAUUUGUCAUACGACAAAAACACACAAAUGAAAUAGCAUCCUUACGCUAUUAAUAUAUAUUGUCUUUCAGCCGGAGCACUGGGUUACAUACAUUCAUUACGUACAUAACAGCGCUAAGCAUUUACAAGGCGUAAGGAUGGAAUGAAUUAGAAUAGGGGAUAAAAAAUUUUUAUACCCCCUGCACUUAAUUCUCCAUCAUAGUUCCGAGGAUCAAAUGGGAAUUUUCCACGUUGGUCGACUAUCUCACUACCGAUUUCUUAGAGGAACAAUAUAAAGGGCAACGCGACCUCACAGACAAAAUCUCAGUGUUGG
This is a long non-coding RNA of Acromyrmex echinatior (Panamanian leafcutter ant), 577 nucleotides long. NCBI's taxonomy places the organism in Eukaryota, Metazoa, Arthropoda, Insecta, Hymenoptera, Formicidae. The record is from RefSeq and is a predicted model, not a curated record.